CGAGAAAGCCCGCAAGGGUGAGUAAAGCGGCGCACGGGUGCGUAACACGUGGGUAAUCUGCCCUGGAGCCCGGAAUAACUUCCCGAAAGGGAUGCUAAUGCCGGAUGAGACCACGGGAGCUCCGGCUCCUGAGGGAAAAGGUGGCCUCUGUACACAAGCUAUCACUCCAGGAUGAGCCCGCGGCCCAUCAGCUAGUUAGCGGGGUAACGGCCCACCAAGGCUACGACGGGUAGCUGGUCUGAGAGGACGAUCAGCCACACUGGAACUGAGACACGGUCCAGACUCCUACGGGUGGCAGCAGUGGGGAAUCUUGCGCAAUGGGCGAAAGCCUGACGCAGCAACGCCGCGUGUGUGAUGAAGGUCUUCGGAUCGUAAAGCACUGUCGCGAGGGACG
This 394-nucleotide ribosomal RNA is filed under the name uncultured Anaeromyxobacter sp. RNAcentral describes it as "bacterial SSU rRNA". It matches the Rfam family "Bacterial small subunit ribosomal RNA", at positions 67 to 447 of the family's 1533-position model. Lineage: Bacteria; Pseudomonadati; Myxococcota; Myxococcia; Myxococcales; Anaeromyxobacteraceae. The record is from RNAcentral.